RNAcentral lists this ribosomal RNA (276 nucleotides) under Triticum aestivum (bread wheat). RNAcentral's name for it is "partial small subunit ribosomal RNA". The record is from RNAcentral. Lineage: Eukaryota; Viridiplantae; Streptophyta; Magnoliopsida; Poales; Poaceae.
AUGGAAACAGACUGCCUGGAGAUAGUUAAUCUCUGGAACACUAGUCAUAACAGCCUUUCUGUUGUGGCUCCUUUACUUUUAGAAAUUGGAGAGCUAGCUUCAUCUUUUUCUUCUUUUGUUGUUCAACAUGUAAACAGGGCAGCCAAUGUACCGGCCCACCUUUGUGCUAAACAUGCAAGCACAUUGUUGGUCACCGAAAGUUGGACUGGCUCGAGACCUUCCUUCCUACUCACCAGCCUUUUGGCGGAUGAUGCUAGGAGUGCCUUUGUUGAAUAA